GAUGAACGCUGGCGGCGUGCCUAAUACAUGCAAGUCGAGCGAACGGACGAGAAGCUUGCUUCUCUGAUGUUAGCGGCGGACGGGUGAGUAACACGUGGAUAACCUACCUAUAAGACUGGGAUAACUUCGGGAAACCGGAGCUAAUACCGGAUGAUAUUUUGAACCGCAUGGUUCAAAAGUGAAAGACGGUCUUGCUGUCACUUAUAGAUGGAUCCGCGCUGCAUUAGCUAGUUGGUAAGGUAACGGCUUACCAAGGCAACGAUGCAUAGCCGACCUGAGAGGGUGAUCGGCCACACUGGAACUGAGACACGGUCCAGACUCCUACGGGAGGCAGCAGUAGGGAAUCUUCCGCAAUGGGCGAAAGCCUGACGGAGCAACGCCGCGUGAGUGAUGAAGGUCUUCGGAUCGUAAAACUCUGUUAUUAGGGAAGAGCAUAUGUGUAAGUAACUGUGCACAUCUUGACGGUACCUAAUCAGAAAGCCACGGCUAACUACGUG
This 497-nucleotide ribosomal RNA is filed under the name uncultured bacterium. Its description in RNAcentral is "partial 16S ribosomal RNA". It matches the Rfam family "Bacterial small subunit ribosomal RNA", at positions 28 to 507 of the family's 1533-position model. The record is from RNAcentral.